This 110-nucleotide ribosomal RNA is filed under the name Acanthosepion pharaonis. The record is from RNAcentral. Lineage: Eukaryota; Metazoa; Mollusca; Cephalopoda; Sepiida; Sepiidae.
GGCUACAUCACGUUGAAACACCGGUUCUCGUACAAUCACCGAAGUUAAGCAAAGUCGAGUCUCGUCAGUACCUAGAUGGGUGACUGCUUAAGAAUACCAGGUGUUGCAAG